GAAAUGCAAAGGGGACAUUGUUUAACAUCUUCCAUCAAAUGUUUGCCGGGGCCCACAGGCAGGAGUUGCAACUGGGUGUUGGAGAGGAGGAUCCUCGGAAUGUCUGCUAACGCUAAGUGCGAAGCCUCUGCGUUGAUGCCGUCCAAGAAGGAACAAGCGCGUAUGAUGAGGACAGCCUGUGCUCCAUCGUGGCAGCAGCAACCCUACCACACAAGUGCCAUGGCAACCCCCACAAAACCAUGAAGCAGCACAUCUAGCCCCCUGCAGGGGCCCAGGACGGCUCCACCCACAGACGCCAAUGUUGCCGUCUUCUCUUCUCUAUCGACAUGAAGCAAGAGGCAAAUUCUGUGAUUGGUGGAUGUUGUGAAGAAGGAAGGUCAUGGAGACAACUUAACCAAGCCCCCUGUGCGAGCCGAUGAGUGAGGGUGAAGCCAGGGGGCACGGCCCAUAUGUCAGGUAAGCAGAGGUGUGGCUUCACCCCGCCUAGUUCCAGGAGAACAAGGAAUUGAAGGAAGGAUCACACUCGGUUGCGAGAAAGGGCAGUGCAUCCAGCA
This is a long non-coding RNA of Megalops cyprinoides (Indo-Pacific tarpon), 554 nucleotides long. RefSeq lists it as uncharacterized. The record is from RefSeq and is a predicted model, not a curated record. The transcript has 4 exons. NCBI's taxonomy places the organism in Eukaryota, Metazoa, Chordata, Actinopteri, Elopiformes, Megalopidae.